CAGUAGCCGCGGUAAUACGAAGGGUGCAAGCGUUAUCCGGAUUUAUUGGGUUUAAAGGGUCCGUAGGCGGACUUAUAAGUCAGUGGUGAAAGCCUGUCGCUUAACGAUAGAACUGCCAUUGAUACUGUAAGUCUUGAGUAUAUUUGAGGUAGCUGGAAUAAGUAGUGUAGCGGUGAAAUGCAUAGAUAUUACUUAGAACACCAAUUGCGAAGGCAGGUUACCAAGAUAUAACUGACGCUGAGGGACGAAAGCGUGGGUAGCGAACAGGAUUAGAUACCCCAGUAGUCCCUGUCUCUUAUAC
Molecule: ribosomal RNA, 301 nt
Filed under: uncultured bacterium
Lineage: Bacteria
Description: partial 16S ribosomal RNA
Rfam family: Bacterial small subunit ribosomal RNA
Source: RNAcentral